AUCUUUGCGCUUGGGGCAAUGAUGCAGCCUGUGAGGCAACACUGAGGCGCGUCAAUCCCUGGUUGAAAACUAUUUCCAAACCCCCUCUGCGGCCCGUCAGGGCCACUAAGAAUUUCUGGAAGGGCUCCCUCUAACCAGGGGAAAGCC
Molecule: small nuclear RNA, 147 nt
Filed under: Dichanthelium oligosanthes
Lineage: Eukaryota; Viridiplantae; Streptophyta; Magnoliopsida; Poales; Poaceae
Description: U4 spliceosomal RNA
Rfam family: U4 spliceosomal RNA
About the family: U4 small nuclear RNA (U4 snRNA) is a component of the major U2-dependent spliceosome. The structure of U4 snRNA from yeast and human has been reported.
Source: Rfam by way of RNAcentral